GACGAACGCUGGCGGCGUGCUUAACACAUGCAAGUCGAACGGAAAGGCCCUGCUUUUGUGGGGUGCUCGAGUGGCGAACGGGUGAGUAACACGUGAGUAACCUGCCCUUGACUUUAGGAUAACUUCAGGAAACUGGGGCUAAUACCGGAUAGGAGCUCUUGCUGCAUGGUGGGGGUUGGAAAGUUUCGGCGGUUGGGGAUGGACUCGCGGCUUAUCAGCUUGUUGGUGGGGUAGUGGCUUACCAAGGCUUUGACGGGUAGCCGGCCUGAGAGGGUGACCGGCCACAUUGGGACUGAGAUACGGCCCAGACUCCUACGGGAGGCAGCAGUGGGGAAUAUUGCACAAUGGGCGGAAGCCUGAUGCAGCAACGCCGCGUGCGGGAUGACGGCCUUCGGGUUGUAAACCGCUUUCGCCUGUGACGAAGCGUGAGUGACGGUAAUGGGUAAAGAAGCACCGGCUAACUACGUG
This 468-nucleotide ribosomal RNA is filed under the name uncultured bacterium. RNAcentral's name for it is "partial 16S ribosomal RNA". It matches the Rfam family "Bacterial small subunit ribosomal RNA", at positions 28 to 507 of the family's 1533-position model. The record is from RNAcentral.